ACAAGCCCGGGCAACAAAAACCGGGAGCUGAGCGUGAAGGCCUGGGCGAGCGGAAGGGUGGGAGAGAGGGGCUAGGCCGGGGAGUGAAGCGCUGGGGCCGGGGCCGGCUUUCCAGGAGCCGGCGGGAGCGGGGUGCGUAAGAGGCGGGCGAGGAAGAACCGGCGGGCAACGGGAAGGGCAGAGGUGGAUCGAUCUCUCCCUCAGCGACCCCUCUCGCCGAGUGAAGGGUCGAGGGUUUGGGGCACAAAGGGCGCAAAACGUUUUUUCCUGUGAGAGGAACAUUAAGACUCCUGGGAGGGCUGGGGCUAACGCCUCCGAGAGCCCCACCUGGUCAGCCUAGGGUUAGACGUGUAGCCAGGGUGCUGGGAGGGGGCCGCUGCUGGGCCCCAGAUAGAGGGGUAGAGGCCGCUCAAUCACGGAGCCAGGCCCCACCUGCUGUAGAAACCGCCACCGAGAGCCGGCCGGGCUUGCUGCACGCUCUGGAUUCCGCCUGCCUAUAGGCGAGGCACAAGGGACUGCGAGACCAGGCCUGAAGGCAGAGAGGUCAGCAGGCUCGGGGGCCUCUGCUCCAGCGGACAACAAGCGCACCGGGCGGGAACGGCCGCCUCCCCAGGCGCUGCAGCCUAGCUCUCAUGUGACCCACGGAACUUAGCCCCUCUGUUCUGUUUGCAUACCUGCAAAUUGUGGGCAUUCACGCCGGGACUGCCAACUCACCAGGUUAUUUAUAGUGACAAGAGAGUGAGACAGUGGGCUUGAAAGUGUUUUCCAGACCAAGGCUCUGUCCCACAUAUAGGUGGAUUAACUGGCAAAGGCAGGUCUCUUCUUCGGCCUCUCUGACAUGGUGCCAGCCCUGCUGGAGUCAGCAGGAAUCCAGCACAACAGAUGGUGGUCAGUGGUGACUUCAGCACAGGCAGUUCGUGGGGAGUGGUUGGUGGCCAUGGAGUCCUGACUGGAGUAGGUUAAAAAGAAGGAGGAAAAUCACAAGAAAGAGAGACUGGAGGUGGAGGUUGGGGAGAAAAGAGAUGAUGGUAUGGUGAGAUGUCUACUGAACUGCUCCUGCCAAGGCCCCUCCCCAUGUACUCUCAACAAAAGUUGCAGGCAGCCACCUCUCAACAACCCAUGAAGUGUCUGGAGCUCCACCCUCUGCUCAAGAGGAACGGCACAUGACCCAGGCCUAUGCCAAUCAGCAUUUCACAUUCCUCAUGAUUGGUUCAAAGGUGAGCAAGUAAUUGAAAUCAGUUAAAUUAGUGCCAGCACAAAGAGGCUCUUUCCCCCACCCCAGUAUUACCAUGGUUUUAAUAUGGUUUAUCCCCACAAAACUCACGUUGAGGCUUGGACUCCAGUGUGACAGUAUUGGGAGGUGGUGCCUUUAAGAGAUGAUUAGAUGGUUAAGAGGGAUGAAUGCCUUACUCUUGCAGUGAGUUCUUGUUCUCUCAGUUCUGGAUUAGUUCCCAUGAGAGUGGGUUGUUAUAAAGCAAGGCUGCCUUUUGCGUUUGGUCUCUUUUGCUUGCCCGUCCACUUUUCUGCCACAGUAUAAUGUGGCAGGAGGCCCUCACCAGAUGCAGCUGCCUCAUCUUGAACGUCCUAGUCUCUAGAACUGUGAGCCUAAUAAACCUCUUUGCUUUAUAAAUUACCCAGUCUCAGGUAUAUUGUUAUAGCAACAGAAAACGGAUUAAGACAUAUGUUGUACUUGAACCUUAAUGUACUUGAACUUGAAGUUUGAUGGCUGCAGCAGCUAUAGCCAUCUUACUUCUAUGUGAAGCCUGAGAAUUAAGCAACACAUGGAAGGGAACACAUCUUUUGAGCCCCAAUUUGGCCAUGAGUUGCCCUUAGAUUUUUUUAGUUAUGUGAGCCAGUACAUUUCCUAAAACAGGUAAAAUUAUGUUUUUAGACACUGAUAACCAAAACAGGUCAAACUAUGCUUAUGGCAAUUUGCUUUAAAAGAGAACUAGACAGAGA
Molecule: long non-coding RNA, 1959 nt
Filed under: Pan troglodytes (chimpanzee)
Lineage: Eukaryota; Metazoa; Chordata; Mammalia; Primates; Hominidae
Description: long non-coding RNA NONPTRT016771
Source: RNAcentral